AUCAACUUUCGAUGGUAGGAUAGAGGCCUACCAUGGUGGUAACGGGUAACGGGGUGUUAGGGCACGACACCGGAGAGGGAGCCUGAGAAACGGCUACCACAUCCAAGGAUGGCAGCAGGCGCGCAAAUUACCCAAUCCCGACACGGGGAGGUAGUGACAAUAAAUAACAAUACGGGGUUCUUUAGGAUCUCGUAAUUGGAAUGAGUACAAUUUAAAUCUCUUAACGAGGAACAAUUGGAGGGCAAGUCUGGUGCCAGCAGCCGCGGUAAUUCCAGCUCCAAUAGCGUAUAUUAAAGUUGUUGCAGUUAAAAAGCUCGUAGUUGAAUUUCGGGGUUAGUAGGUUGGUCAUGCCUCUGGUAUGUACUGGUCUCACUGAUUCCUCCUUCCUGAUGAACCGUAAUGCCAUUAAUUUGGUGUUGCGGGGAAUUUGGACUGUUACUUUGAAAAAAUUAGAGUGUUUAAAGCAAGCUAACGCUUGAAUACAUUAGCAUGGAAUAAUGAAAUAGGACGUUCGAUCCUAUUUUGUUGGUUUCUAGGAUUGACGUAAUGAUUAAUAGGGAUAGUUGGGGGCAUUAGUAUUCAAUUGUCAGAGGUGAAAUUCUUGGAUUUAUUGAAGACUAACUACUGCGAAAGCAUUUGCCAAGGAUGUUUUCAUUAAUCAAGAACGAAAGUUAGGGGAUCGAAGACGAUCAGAUACCGUCGUAGUCUUAACCAUAAACUAUGCCGACUAGGGACCGGAUGAUGUUAAUUUUUUAAUGACUCAUUCGGCGCCUUACGGGAAACCAAAGUGUUUGGGUUC
This 799-nucleotide ribosomal RNA is filed under the name uncultured Glomus. RNAcentral describes it as "SSU rRNA". It matches the Rfam family "Eukaryotic small subunit ribosomal RNA", at positions 314 to 1114 of the family's 1831-position model. Lineage: Eukaryota; Fungi; Glomeromycota; Glomeromycetes; Glomerales; Glomeraceae. The record is from RNAcentral.